GGAGUGCUCAAGCCUGAUGUCGUGUUCUUUGGUGAUAAUGUCCCAAAGGAUAGAGCUACUAAGGCGAUGGAAGCUGCUAGAAAUUGUGAUGCUUUCCUCGUAUUGGGGUCAUCUGUGAUGACCAUGUCUGCUUACCGUCUAGUGAGGGCUGCUCACGAGUCUGGUGCCGCUACUGGAAUUGUAAAUGUAGGUGUGACACGAGCUGAUGACUUUGUAUCACUGAAAAUCAAUGCUAGGUUGGGUGAGAUCAUGCCCAGAGUGCUUCAUAUGGGUUCCCU
This 278-nucleotide unclassified non-coding RNA is filed under the name Hevea brasiliensis (rubber tree). The record is from RNAcentral. Lineage: Eukaryota; Viridiplantae; Streptophyta; Magnoliopsida; Malpighiales; Euphorbiaceae.